AGGGUUUGAUCAUGGCUCAGAUUGAACGCUGGCGGUAUGCUUUACACAUGCAAGUCGAACGGCAGCAUAGGUGCUUGCACCUGAUGGCGAGUGGCGAACGGGUGAGUAAUGUAUCGGAACAUAUCCGGAAGUGGGGGAUAACUAGUCGAAAGAUUAGCUAAUACCGCAUAUGCCCUUAGGGGGAAAGGGGGGGAUCUUAGGACCUCUCGCUUUCGGAGUGGCCGAUAUCGGAUUAGCUAGUAGGUGAGGUAAAGGCUCACCUAGGCGACGAUCCGUAGCUGGUCUGAGAGGACGACCAGCCACACUGGAACUGAGACACGGUCCAGACUCCUACGGGAGGCAGCAGUGGGGAAUUUUGGACAAUGGGGGCAACCCUGAUCCAGCCAUACCGCGUGAGUGAAGAAGGCCUUCGGGUUGUAAAGCUCUUUCAGGUGGGAAGAAACGGUCAUUGUUAAUAGCGGUGAUUAAUGACGGUACCACCAGAAGAAGCACCGGCUAACUACGUGCCAGCAGCCGCGGUAAUACGUAGGGUGCGAGCGUUAAUCGGAAUUACUGGGGCGUAAAGCGUGCGCAGGCGGCUUUAUAAGCCAGAUGUGAAAUCCCCGGGCUCAACCUGGGAACUGCAUUUGGAACUGUAAGGCUAGAGUACGGCAGAGGGGGUAGAAUUCCACGUGUAGCA
This 679-nucleotide ribosomal RNA is filed under the name uncultured bacterium. Its description in RNAcentral is "bacterial SSU rRNA". It matches the Rfam family "Bacterial small subunit ribosomal RNA", at positions 8 to 680 of the family's 1533-position model. The record is from RNAcentral.